Molecule: non-coding RNA, 2594 nt
Organism: Chlorocebus sabaeus (green monkey)
Lineage: Eukaryota; Metazoa; Chordata; Mammalia; Primates; Cercopithecidae
Source: RefSeq, a predicted model, not a curated record
UGCUGGGAUUACAGGCAUGAGCCACCACGCCCAGCAUCUCUGCUUCUAAUACUCAGCUUUUCUCCUCUGUUAAUGAUCAUCACUUCCCAAGAAGAGAUCAGUGGAAAUUUCCUGCAGCCACUGUGUUUAUUUAUGAGCAGUGCAUGCAUGUGAUUGGGCACACACUGGCCCACUUUUUCUCUCUUUCUUUUCUCUUUCCUCUCUUUCUUCUUUUACUCAUACCCAUCCCAUCUCUUCAUCCAAGCAGAGGCCUCACAACAACCCAUGAGAUCAGUGAUGACUGCCCCCAUUCGCCAGCUUUGCAGGGAGAGAUCAAAACCAAGGCGAUCUUCAGGCCCAAGGCAGGUAGGGAGGAGGCUUGCCGAGCCCACCCCUGUGAAGAGGUGAGGACCAGACCCUUUUGGAAGCCUCCUCAGGCAAGGUGUCUAUGUGUGCUGUCUCACUUCAUCCUUGAGCAGCUCUGGGAGGAAGAUACAGUUAUCCUUGCUUUACAGAGAAGGAAACGGAGGCUUGAGGUGGGGCUCAGAAAUGGGGCUGGAGUACCUCAUCAUUAUCUCAACUGCCCUUGCCUGCUGGCCUGGAGGAUGAGGCUGGGACCGAAUUCUGGGCUUGGCCUGUCUCCACUUAGCCUGGCUGGCCGCCCUGCCUGUUGGCAGCUUGGAGCUUGGGUGCCGAGUUGGGCAUCUGGUGGGCUGGCUGGAGGUGGAAGACCCUGGGAAAGAUGAGGUGAGCAAGGAGCUUGGUUCUUAAUUUGGAAAGAGUUUGGAGAGAGGGUGGCAGACACCUCAGGGGAGGGUAAGAUCGGAGGACAGUUCCAAGGAGGGGCUUUGAGCCAGACUCUCCUCCAUUGGUAAGCAGAGGGCUGAGUGGGCUUUGGAAGGAGGGGGCACUAUGACUAAAGUAGGGAAUACGUGCAACACCCCACAAGGGGGAAACACACUUUUCAGCAUUCUGAGAGUUAAAAGGGAUCACUCAGCUCUGGUAACCAUUGUGAACCUUGGAUUAUGUCUGAGAUGUGAAACAAUUCAGUCUUUCUUUGAUGGCUGGGAUGGGGUGAGGGAGUUUCUUCCAGGGCUGUGGUGAAGCCAUUGCUGACCCCAGUGAGGACAAGGGCAGCUGCUGAUAUGAUUGGCGGGACCUCCAAAGGCUUUAAAAUCUCAGCUGUCUCUCACAGGGCUACACCCAGGGCUUUAAAUUAUUUGGAGCACAGAUACUGUGCAGGAGCCUCCUGGGGGAGGCCCAGCCUCUUAAUGUGGUUCAGCAGCAUGGCUUCACUCAAAACAGGGGAUGUGUUAGCCAAUAAGGGAGCAGAGACAAGCUUCCCUGAUUCAAUUCCACCCAGGGGCAGACCACAGUGGAGAGAGAUGGGGUGCAGGGGGUAGGGGUGAGCUUUGAUAGCAUGAAGGAGUAGAAAGAACCCAAGUUACAAGACCCUCUUCUAGGGCCAACACCAUGUUCACUGACUGUUACACUCUGGGCAAAGCGUUUCUCUCUGGGUCUUAAUUUCCCUGUCUGUAAAAUCAGACCGUUUGGACCAGAUGGUUUCUAAUGGGCCCUUUGAGCUCUAAGAAGUGAAGUUGAUGGGGUUUCAUCCAGGGCUGGAAGAUCACUGGGUCUGGAGGAGCCAGAUGGGCAAUGGGGUCAUGGCGUCCCUGCACCACCUCCAUGUACGCAGCAUUUGUGGUUUACAAGAAGCUCUCACUGUAUUUUCUCACUUAGGCCUCGCAACCACCCAUGAGAUCUGGGAUGACUGCCCCCAUUUGCCAGAUGAGAAGCUGAGGCUUGGAGAUACUGAGGAACGUGUCAAGCAUACCUUCGUGGAGUGGCGAGAACAGCAGGAAAGUGGAUUAAAGGAACCGGGCUGGAUGUCCUCCACCAGCUCUCAGCAGCUGUGUGACCUAAGGUAGAUCCCUUGACAUCUCUGAGUUUCUGCACAGAGAUGAUGGAUUCAUAGACUCACUAGGGACCUGCAAUGAAAAUAAAUGGACUUUGUAAACACUAAGGCUUUAGUGUUAAGAGCACGUGCUCUUAAGUGCACAGAAAGGUUGGGUUUGAAUUCCAGCCUGUUGUGUGACCUUGGACAAAUGACUUCACCGCUGUGUCAGGUGCUUUUGCUAUGCAGCAAACACCUCACAGCUCAGUAGCUUAAUGCAACAAACAUUCACGUAGCUUAUGAUUUGGGAAUCAGCAAUUUCCACUGGGAUCAGUUGAGCUGUCCUGGUCUGGGCAAGGCUUGAGUGAUCUUGGCUGGCCUCACUCAUGUGUCUGCCAUUAGCUGGUGGAUCCCUGGAACUGGCUGAUUAAUUUGGCUUCCUCUGGGAUGAUGAACUACGGGGCUCUCUCCAUGAGCCUGGGCUUGUUCACAGAGUGGUAAAAGGACUUCAGAGGCAGUGAGAGAGAAGCCCCAGUGUGCGAGCACUUCUCCAGCUUCUGCAGGCAUUAUGCGUGCUCCUUUCUUUUUAUUUUUUAAGACAGGAUCUCUGUCUGUCACCCCGGUUGGACGGUAGUGGUAUGAUCAUGGUUCACUGCAGCCUUGACUUCCCAGGCUCCAGUGACUCUUCCACCUCAGCCUCCUGGGUAGCUGGGACCACAGG